This 387-nucleotide ribosomal RNA is filed under the name uncultured bacterium. Its description in RNAcentral is "bacterial SSU rRNA". It matches the Rfam family "Bacterial small subunit ribosomal RNA", at positions 30 to 417 of the family's 1533-position model. The record is from RNAcentral.
AUUGAACGCUGGCGGCAUGCCUUACACAUGCAAGUCGAACGGUAACGGGCCUUCGGGUGCCGACGAGUGGCGAACGGGUGAGUAAUGUAUCGGAACGUACCUUUCAGUGGGGGAUAACGUAGCGAAAGUUACGCUGAUACCGCAUAUUCUGUGAGCAGGAAAGCAGGGGAUCGCAAGACCUUGCGCUGAUUGAGCGGCCGAUAUCAGAUUAGCUAGUUGGUGAGGUAAAGGCUCACCAAGGCGACGAUCUGUAGCGGGUCUGAGAGGAUGAUCCGCCACACUGGAACUGAGACACGGUCCAGACUCCUACGGGAGGCAGCAGUGGGGGAAUUUUGGACAAUGGGGGGCAACCCUGAUCCAGCCAUGCCGCGUGAGUGAAGAAGGCCU